Long non-coding RNA from Rhipicephalus sanguineus (brown dog tick), 488 nucleotides. RefSeq lists it as uncharacterized. The record is from RefSeq and is a predicted model, not a curated record. Lineage: Eukaryota; Metazoa; Arthropoda; Arachnida; Ixodida; Ixodidae. The transcript has 3 exons.
GUGUCUGAUCGUCAAAAGGAGCUUCUGCUGGCUUUUGCGAAAGAGCACCCACAGAUCGCGACGCUGUCGUGCCCGCUGGAGCCGUCGUUCACGAGGGAGGACCGGGACGACAUGUGGCAGGAGCUGGUAGCGCUUUUGAACGAAGUCCCUGCGCGUAACACCACAGCCUUGCCAAACUCCGAGAGCAGCAGAGCGGCACCGGAGGCGGCCAGAUUACGGGCUAACGCGGCCGCGUCGUGCUUGACAGGGACCGCGCGGGUCGACAGUACGCGAGGCCCAGAGUUCGGGUGAUUUGAAUCGGUGAGCCCUGCUCCAGCUGCUGCUGGUGUGGCUGAAGAGGAUGUGGCCCAGGAUCUUCCCCGUGCCCCAACACGUAAGUUUCACUGAUGUUUUUGAUUAACUGUAGAUGGUGUUACAUGCUCACAGGUGAUGCUCACGCGUGCAGGCAUAUGUUUGUGAAGAGAUGACAUCUGUGGGCAUAAAGACAA